GAGCUGCAUUUCCGCCGGCGCGGUCCGGGUAUAGCAGUUUCCUGCGGCAGUGGCUGCUUCCCAAAUAGUCCUGAACGAUUCCGAGGCGUGCCGCACCGUCUCGCGCCGUCCCCUCUGACCCUGCCGGUGACAGGCCCGGCUCCCCGGGUGAGUCGCUCCGGGGCCGCGAUGCACAGGAAACCCCUCCGCGGCCUCCCAAGGCCGGUGCAUCAUCCCCCCCCCCCCCCCGACAGGAGGAGAAACUGAGGCCCGAGGGGACGGGGAGAGCCGGCGGAGGUCAGCCCCGAUUUCAGGCCCCGCUCCUGGGUCCGGGCCCAGCCCCUCCGCCGGCUGCGGACCUCUCGGGAUGCGUGUCCCCGAGAAUGGGACUCCUGGUCUGAUCCCCCGCGCGCGGGGAAGACUCGUGUCCCGCCAACUACCAGAAGCGGGUCCGGCGACGUGCGGGCCGUGUGCCGCCGCCAGUGGUGCGGAGCCCCGUGUGGCCCCGGGCCUGAAGAGCUCCCGGGGCCGCGUGAUUUUCACGCACACACCCACCUCCGGCUCUGGGCCUCGAAUCCCCCAAAGCGCUUCAUCGGUUGCCCACGAAGUGACCAUGUGAGCGUUAGCCCGUUUUCUUGUCAACAAACAGCCUUUAAGAGAAAGCGUUAAAACCCCCGUUGUGCAGAGCGGUUGUGCGUUGCGGGCUCUGGGGCUCUGUUGGAAGCAGAUGGAAAGUCUCCGUUGGACGGCUUUGGGGGCUGUGCGUCAGGCAGCGCCCCCUUCUUUGCUGCAGGACCCUGAGCCGCAGCGCCGGAUGUGCCCCCGCGGUGUCCGGGGGGUGAGGCCUGGAUGAGCCCACUGUGUGGAGAGACAUCAUGGGAGUUCUAUCAGGAACAUUCUAGACCCCAGUGUCCUUGAGGGAUGCUGCCUCGGAUCUAGAGAUUGUUGGAAGAAUCCUUAAGGAGAUGGAGCAUUGGUCCUCUCAGGAUGACCUGGGUCCCAGCUGCCCUGGAGGGACCUCUUCAUGAUUAUUUCGGAGUUGAUCAUGGACACUGGCAGAGUGAAGAAUGAUGUCGCCACGUGAACCAUGGCCAGACCUUCUUAUCCUGUUGCCUCAGCACAGCCUGGAGGGACUUUUCUCUCUGCGUGAGCAGGCCAGAGGGAAAGUCCUGGGACCCUGGAGACUUGAGGUCCAGAGCUAGAGACUUCAGCUGGCUCUGCCGCUCCCCCAGCAGGUGUCACACAGCACCUGGGACCAGGAAGACUGGUUCCCUUCCACCUGAGCCAGGUGUCCAGCAGGCUCCACGUGCCCCUGCCUAUUCCUCCUGUAACUUUUUACAACCAAGAGUUUUCUGCACUGUGCAUCCUUGUCCUCUCACCCACCCAAUAAAUCUUGAAACUGCC
Molecule: long non-coding RNA, 1383 nt
Organism: Herpailurus yagouaroundi (jaguarundi)
Lineage: Eukaryota; Metazoa; Chordata; Mammalia; Carnivora; Felidae
Exons: 5
Source: RefSeq, a predicted model, not a curated record